Molecule: ribosomal RNA, 447 nt
Filed under: uncultured Aeromonas sp.
Lineage: Bacteria; Pseudomonadati; Pseudomonadota; Gammaproteobacteria; Aeromonadales; Aeromonadaceae
Description: bacterial SSU rRNA
Rfam family: Bacterial small subunit ribosomal RNA
Source: RNAcentral
ACUUUUGCCGGCGAGCGGCGGACGGGUGAGUAAUGCCUGGGAAAUUGCCCAGUCGAGGGGGAUAACAGUUGGAAACGACUGCUAAUACCGCAUACGCCCUACGGGGGAAAGCAGGGGACCUUCGGGCCUUGCGCGAUUGGAUAUGCCCAGGUGGGAUUAGCUAGUUGGUGAGGUAAUGGCUCACCAAGGCGACGAUCCCUAGCUGGUCUGAGAGGAUGAUCAGCCACACUGGAACUGAGACACGGUCCAGACUCCUACGGGAGGCAGCAGUGGGGAAUAUUGCACAAUGGGGGAAACCCUGAUGCAGCCAUGCCGCGUGUGUGAAGAAGGCCUUCGGGUUGUAAAGCACUUUCAGCGAGGAGGAAAGGUCAGUAGCUAAUACCUGCUGACUGUGACGUUACUCGCAGAAGAAGCACCGGCUAACUCCGUGCCAGCAGCCGCGGUAAU